CAUCUCCUCUAGCAACAGGAGAUCCCCACUGUCUGCGAUCGCCACUAUUUUGGAUGCCAUCUCUCCAGAGAAACUGCUCAUAAAAAAGUCUAACUGACAAUUCUUGGUGCAAAGACUAAAAAG
Long non-coding RNA from Cebus imitator (Panamanian white-faced capuchin), 123 nucleotides. RefSeq lists it as uncharacterized. Lineage: Eukaryota; Metazoa; Chordata; Mammalia; Primates; Cebidae. The record is from RefSeq and is a predicted model, not a curated record. The transcript is spliced from 2 exons.